GUCACAUAGGCCUGAGCCUCACAAAACGUCAGGAAAUGAAGCUGAGCCACAGAACCAACACAGAGGGACGGACGGCCUGGGGCUAUUGAGGAAAAAUAGGGAGUAGCUGGCUGAAGCCCAGAUCCUGGCCUCUCUGCAUAGCCCUAGGCUUUGGCCUUUUCCUGUCUGAGCACUUUUGGCUGACCUGCCUCCAAGCUGGACCACCACUGGCCAGCUCUCAUGAGCUCCAGGAGUUGUAUGCUGUGACUAUCCAGGAGCAAGCCUGCUCCGCGGUGGAGACGUUCAGACCCAGAAAAGCUCUGGGGAGAAUUAGUAGCAAUACUGUGAGGACACAUUCUGAGGUUGUAUCCUCAGCCUGGGAAGCAGGGCUGAGGGGACAGCUGUAGAUGAGCAGUCAGCAUUGCAGCUUCAUCAGCUAAAAGUGAUUUCACACAAAAUAAUGUGUCAGAGAUAAUUGCUCCUGGGAACAGAUCCCAAUUCCAGCCCGCAAUCAAAGAGCAGGUCAUGGCUGCCACUGGGUUUGCACCCACCUGAGGUCAGGAUGAAGGUUCCGGAAGCAGAGAGACAGGUCCUGCUGCUACAAUCCUCCCCUGCACUAAAGGGCUUCCUCAAGAAAGUCCAGAUCACAAGAUCAGAGAUGAAGGAGUGGCUGAGAGAGAGAGAGAGGAAGCCGUAACAGGGAAAAAACAGCGGCAUGCAUGGCUGUGGAGCUGGAGCCCACAGGAAGGAAGUGUGGCGGACAGGAGGGGCUACUAUACUCAAGAAGGGGAGCCAGGAGCCGGUGCCACAGCUCUGGAGGGCAGGCCAACACUGGCCACACCCAUGAAGGCUGAGUCCCA
RNAcentral lists this long non-coding RNA (839 nucleotides) under Cricetulus griseus (Chinese hamster). RNAcentral's name for it is "lncRNA (ENSCGRG00015039842.1)". The record is from RNAcentral. Lineage: Eukaryota; Metazoa; Chordata; Mammalia; Rodentia; Cricetidae.